CAUCUUCUCAACAACAAAAUUCGAAAGUUGACUACUAUUUUGAGGCUGUAUAUCAGGAUUAAAAAUUCAGAAAGUUUAUACUUACGUUAACUAACAAGUUUAUAAAAUUAGAAAACUUGUGCCAGAGGGACAAAAGUGACAAAACACGUGAGUCGAGCAGAAGGCACUCGUGAAUCAAAGGCUGUUCAACCCUGAUUUCCUGAAGCUGAGAGUGAACUGUGGGUAGAAUGUAGAAAAUCUAAUUGCACCAACUGUUAUCAAGGAGAUUAUACGAACCAGGGAAACCCCAUACCAAAAAGUUGAGUGAGAGACGUGCUGCAACGUUCAGUUCGACAUCAUAGUUUAUUUCCCAGCGGGCCCGCAAGCCGAUUAAGAUCAACUAAACGUCCGUUAUGGGCUACACAAAAUAAGGAUAACACUAACAAUAAGGAAACCAAGUGCUCACUUCGUUGAGGAACCGGUUGAACUUGUCCUUGCUGCAAGAUGGCAUCUGCAUAACGCUGCGGUGGGGUUCCGUCAGCUCAACUAUCAAGAAAAGAAGAAUCCGCAUUUGAUCGAACGAUUCGGCGUGAAAUCGGCGAAAUUGAAAUGGAAAUUGGAAACAGCCAACUAGCCAAUUUAAGAAAGCGACUGCCGGCCCGACAAUCGUCAAUUUGAUGCCCUCAUGAUGAGGUGUGAUAUAGCUGCCGCCGAAUUCUCCUGAGAGAUCAACAGCUUAUUCUCCCAUUGAAGUCGCCAAUCCGUUAAUUAAAUUUGUUUGGCCGUUAGCACCGCAUCGAACUCCAAAAUCUGCUUCCCAUGUCACCGCAUUACUUCCGCUACCGGACGCCAAGUGGCGAAAGGAAUUUAAACGAUGUCCAGCUUCCCAUUCCAGCUUUCCAUUCAUUAUGUUCGCAGGCGACAGCCGGAAGUGAGCCAGCAAGGUAACUCCAUUUUCAUUAUUUAUUUGAUUCGUCCCAGGCUCCAUUUGAAUAUUUAUAUCCGUUCCC
RNAcentral lists this long non-coding RNA (989 nucleotides) under Daphnia pulicaria. Its description in RNAcentral is "uncharacterized LOC124315733, transcript variant X2". The record is from RNAcentral. Lineage: Eukaryota; Metazoa; Arthropoda; Branchiopoda; Diplostraca; Daphniidae.